AAAGUGAAGCCGAUUAUCGCAAAUCACUUGGUUGAUUGUUGUAACCGCGAACACAGUUGGUUUUCUAUGCUUUCGAUAUAAUUGAUGUAUUGCACAUCUAAUAAUACCUGUUUACUGUGGUGGAUCACAAAGUGGUGAAAUAAUUUUCGUAUACUUAUUAUAGCUUAUUUGCGCACAAGUUGCACUGCUAGUUGUGGACGCCGAAAACAUGGAUUAAAAUGUUCAAUGAUCUGCGGAUACUGUAAAGGAAAUUCUUGCCUUAAUGCGAUGGAAGCCGCAUUGACGAAGAUGAUAUUGAAUCAAUACCAGAUGAAGAUAACAACACCUCAAACAAAGAAACAGAGGAUAAAAACAACGCUAAUCAGGUGCAUUUCAGUGAUGAUCAACCUACCACUAGUGAUCAAAAACGAAUACAAUUUCAAUAGAAUGAAAGAGAUUAUUAUAUUAUAAAUAAAGUUUUGUUUAAAUUUAAUAGUUUGU
This 480-nucleotide unclassified non-coding RNA is filed under the name Acyrthosiphon pisum (pea aphid). RNAcentral's name for it is "uncharacterized LOC100570608, transcript variant X1". Lineage: Eukaryota; Metazoa; Arthropoda; Insecta; Hemiptera; Aphididae. The record is from RNAcentral.